This 73-nucleotide transfer RNA is filed under the name Coniophora puteana RWD-64-598 SS2. Its description in RNAcentral is "tRNA-Arg (TCT) (tRNA-Arg-TCT-1-1)". It matches the Rfam family "tRNA". Rfam says of the family: Transfer RNA (tRNA) molecules are approximately 80 nucleotides in length. Their secondary structure includes four short double-helical elements and three loops (D, anti-codon, and T loops). Further hydrogen bonds mediate the characteristic L-shaped molecular structure. tRNAs have two regions of fundamental functional importance: the anti-codon, which is responsible for specific mRNA codon recognition, and the 3' end, to which the tRNAs corresponding amino acid is attached (by aminoacyl-tRNA synthetases). tRNAs cope with the degeneracy of the genetic code in two manners: having more than one tRNA (with a specific anti-codon) for a particular amino acid; and 'wobble' base-pairing, i.e. permitting non-standard base-pairing at the 3rd anti-codon position. The record is from RNAcentral. Lineage: Eukaryota; Fungi; Basidiomycota; Agaricomycetes; Boletales; Coniophoraceae.
GCCCUCGUUGUCUAAUGGUUAUGACGUCAGACUUCUAAUCUGGAGGUUGCGGGUUCGAAUCCCGCCGGGGGUU